RNAcentral lists this long non-coding RNA (1744 nucleotides) under Theobroma cacao (cacao). Its description in RNAcentral is "long non-coding RNA (TCAC_LNC005266)". Lineage: Eukaryota; Viridiplantae; Streptophyta; Magnoliopsida; Malvales; Malvaceae. The record is from RNAcentral.
UUUUCGACCUUUUACGCGUCUAACGGUAAGAUUUUUCGAUUUUAGUUUGAUUUCUACCUUUCCCAUGCCUUUAUUUCCAUUUAACAUGCUUGAGGAGAAAGAUCAAAAAAGUGAUAUCAAGGGCUGGAUGAAAUUCUAGGGGAGAGAAAUUGAAAUUUUUAGGUUUUGAUUUUUAGUUAAAUUGAUAGUUUUAGUUAGUUAAAUGUGUUUAGAAAUUAAAUUGGGCAAGAAAUCAUUAAAUUUUCACAAUACCCACUCUUGGCUGGAUGCUCAAUGCUGUACAAUGAUGAUGAAUUGAUUUUACUCUAAGGAAAAUGAAGAGAAAAUGAUGAAAAACGAUUAAACGUGAAAGAAAAACAAAGUAGAAAAUUAACCGAGUUAAUGUCCCAUUUUUGGCCGAAUUUUCCAAGGAAGGGAGUGAGCUGAUUUUGUUGUUUUUAGAAGGUUAUUGGCUGAUAUUUAAUGGUUAGAAAUGUUGGAGAGAGAAUGGGAUGAUUUAGAGCUAAAAUGGAGCGCGUUAGCAAUUUAUCGGGCCAAGUGCCAAAAAUAGGUUAAUACCGCGUUUAAGCCGUUUUAGGCUAUUGCAUUUCAUACCAUGCAUUAGUAUAGGAUUUAAGUUAAUUAUAUAGUGAUUUAGCAUCAAUGUGAUGAAUUGUGUAAAUUUUUGUAAUGUGUCUAGGAGGAGAGCCUUCCGGAAAAGGCAAAGAAGUCGUACCCGACGAGUAGUGAUCGGGGCGCUUAGAAAGCUUUUAGUUUGUACAAACGGUGAGUAAACUUAUUAUUAUUGUAAAUUAUCUAGAGUUUAUUUUAAAUGCCCUUUAUGUAUUUUAUGAAAUGAGAACGAGAUUAAAACGGGAUUUUUGAUGUUUUAGGAAUAAAUGUGACAAAUAAAAAUAUAUUGUAUUGAUUAUGAAAUUGAGUAAUUGGAGGCUGCAAAUUGACUUGAAAAAUAUAUAUUUUCCUAGGAAUGGCUUAUGAGAAAUGAGUAUAUGUGGCUAUAUUUUGUGAAUGCAUUGGGAAAUUUAUGUAAUUGGUUUUACUAUGCAGGCUGGAUAAAUAAAUAAAAGCCACGUUAUACUGUCGAAAUUUUAUUAAAAUUGGUGGGUUAGUCACUGCAGUGACGGGUUUCCGUGGACUGCCUAUUAGAGGGGCACGGUAAACCCAGUUAUAUAGUUACUCCGGUUGUAGAGGCGAGGAGGGUAACUCCCGGGGUAGUAUUAGAGCUCACUUCACGUCGAACCCCCACGUGAAUGUGUAACUCGGCCAACGCCAAGGGACGGCUGGUUUUAAAAAUAAAAAUGUGUUUCACGUGUGAAUAUUUUAACACCCUUGGCGGACUCGGUUAGAUGCCUCGGCCAAGGUAUCCCCGAGGAUUAGUUUUGGCUUGAGCCUUGUUUUAAUAAAAGACAUAAGCCUUAACAAUUGUUUUGGUAAAUUACAAAUAUUUUAUGGUUUAAGAAAUAAAUUGAAAACAUUAUGAAAUGGGUUGAAAUUUGUUGUUUAAACUUGCCUCCAUUUUACUCGCCUUUAGAUAUUUAUGAUAAUGUCUGUUUACUCAUUGGGAUUGCAAAAUCUCACCCAACUCCUUUCCACCCAUUUCAGGUUCAGUAUAGACUGUAGAUAGCUGAUCUCAUCGAGGACUACCAUUGGAUCUGCAUUUUCCAAACCGUAGGUUCACAGUCCUCUUUACUUUUGUUUAUUCGGGGGCCUUCUUGUUAUUGUAAAUUAAAUUAAAUAUUUUGGC